Non-coding RNA from Pelobates cultripes (western spadefoot toad), 235 nucleotides. The record is from the annotation of a GenBank genome assembly. Lineage: Eukaryota; Metazoa; Chordata; Amphibia; Anura; Pelobatidae.
AUUUUAUCUGCUAAUUUAUAAAAUUCUUCAUAUUUUACUGUGUUUGAUACCAUAAUAGCAUCUCAUUUAUUAACGUUUUGCUUUUUGAUUGCAGAACAGGAUAGUGUUUUAUUUUUUAAGCUUGUGGCAUCAUUAUACUUACAAUGUGUUUCUUGUAAGCAACAUAUAUCAAUGUUAUUUCUCUUUAACCACUCUGUUAAUGCUAAUCUUUUUUUGUGGUAGAUUAAUUCCCUGG